RNAcentral lists this microRNA (24 nucleotides) under Gallus gallus (chicken). RNAcentral describes it as "gga-miR-1464". Lineage: Eukaryota; Metazoa; Chordata; Aves; Galliformes; Phasianidae. The record is from miRBase by way of RNAcentral.
UGCUGUUUGCAGGGCCGCCUCGGA